GACACAUCACGUUGAAACACCGGCUCCCGUAUGAUCACCGACGUUAAGCAAUGUUGUGCUUGGUGAGUACCUGGAUGGGUGACU
Molecule: ribosomal RNA, 84 nt
Filed under: Acanthosepion pharaonis
Lineage: Eukaryota; Metazoa; Mollusca; Cephalopoda; Sepiida; Sepiidae
Source: RNAcentral